UUCCUCUCUCCAUAGCAAUGGAGAAAUACUUAUUGGUGAUAUUAUUCUCAUAUCAGUCAGGGCAGAGCAGCUGGCAAUCCUUUGUCCAUCCUAGCUUGAUGCCUGGCUUGGUGGCCAAAACUCUUUCAUACCUAGGACACAUAA
Grammomys surdaster is the source of this 144-nucleotide small nucleolar RNA. RefSeq annotates it as small nucleolar RNA SNORA48. The record is from RefSeq and is a predicted model, not a curated record. Lineage: Eukaryota; Metazoa; Chordata; Mammalia; Rodentia; Muridae. The transcript has a single exon.